Melozone crissalis (California towhee) is the source of this 941-nucleotide long non-coding RNA. RefSeq lists it as uncharacterized. The record is from RefSeq and is a predicted model, not a curated record. The transcript has 3 exons. Lineage: Eukaryota; Metazoa; Chordata; Aves; Passeriformes; Passerellidae.
CCGGGAUGGCAUCCCUGUGUCCCCCAAACCCCACAAGGACCAUCCCAGGUGAUGUUCCUGAGGGUCUGAGCACCCCAAAACCCCCUGGAUUGGUGUCCCCAGGGUCCUGUGCACCCCAAAUCCCCCAAGGUUGAUGUCCCUGAGGGUCUGAGCACCCCAAACCCCACAGGAACCCCCUCAGGGUUGGGAGCCGGGUGAAGCCCUCCCCAAACCCCCCUCUCAGGGCAAGGGCAGCACCCCAAACCCCCCUUUAGAGCUGGGGGGGGACCUCCCAAACCCCACCCAGCCCCAGGAACCCUCCUGGAUUGGUGUCCCCAGGGUCCUGAACACCCCAAAUCCCCCAGAGACCCCUCUGGGUGGGUGUCCAUAGGGUCCUGUGCACCCCAAACCCCACAGGGACUAUCCCAGGUGAUGUCCCUGAAGGUCUGUGCACCCCAAACCCCACUGGGGUGAUGUCCUUGAAGGUCUGAGCGCCCCAAAACAACCAGGACUGAUGUCCCCAGGGUCCUGUGUACCCCAAACUCCCCAGGGACCCCUCUGGGUUGGUUUCCUCAGGGUCCUGUGCACCCCAAACCUUCUCAGGGUUGAUGUCCCCAGGGUCCUGUGCACCCCAAACCCCCCAGGGUUGAUGUCCUUGAGGUUCUGAGCACCCCAAACCCCACAGGGACCCCCCUGGGUUGGUGUCACCAGGAUCCUGUGCACCCCAAACACCCCACCAGGAUCAUCCCAGCUGAUGUUUCUGAGGGUCUGAGCACCCCAAACCCCCCAGGGACCCCCUCAGGGUUGGGAACCGGGUGAAGCCCUCCCCUCCCAGGGCAAGGGCAGCACCCCAAUCCCUCCCCAGCCUCUCCAGAUCCCAUUCUGUGCACUUGGGGGGGGACGGGGGGGCUUCCCAAAUUUGGGAUGGGAGCGGGAAAGGGGGCUCUGUGUGUGUUUGUGUG